UGGGGAAUUUUGCGCAAUGGGGGAAACCCUGACGCAGCAACGCCGCGUGGAGGAUGAAAUCCCUUGGGAUGUAAACUCCUUUCGAUCGGGACGAUUAUGACGGUACCGAUAGAAGAAGCCCCGGCUAACUUCGUGCCAGCAGCCGCGGUAAUACGAGGGGGGCAAGCGUUGUUCGGAAUUAUUGGGCGUAAAGGGCGCGUAGGCGGUUUGACAAGUCUGAUGUGAAAUCUAUGGGCUCAACCCAUAGCCUGCAUUAGAAACUGUCGGGCUUGAGUAUGGGAGAGGUGAGUGGAAUUUCCGGUGUAGCGGUGAAAUGCGUAGAUAUCGGAAGGAACACCUGUGGCGAAAGCGGCUCACUGGACCAUAACUGACGCUGAGGCGCGAAAGCUAGGGGAGCAAACAG
This 403-nucleotide ribosomal RNA is filed under the name uncultured bacterium. RNAcentral's name for it is "bacterial SSU rRNA". It matches the Rfam family "Bacterial small subunit ribosomal RNA", at positions 355 to 775 of the family's 1533-position model. The record is from RNAcentral.